This 422-nucleotide ribosomal RNA is filed under the name uncultured bacterium. RNAcentral's name for it is "partial 16S ribosomal RNA". It matches the Rfam family "Bacterial small subunit ribosomal RNA", at positions 359 to 774 of the family's 1533-position model. The record is from RNAcentral.
GAAUUUUGGACAAUGGGGGCAACCCUGAUCCAGCCAUCCCGCGUGUGCGAUGAAGGCCUUCGGGUUGUAAAGCACUUUUGGCGGGGAAAAAAGGCCCUGUCUAAAACCUGGACCUUCCGAACGGACCUGCAGGAUAAACCCCGGCCAACACCGUUCCACACGCCGCGGUCAUACGUAGGGUGCCAGCGUUAAUCGGAAUUACUGGGCGUAAAGCGUGCGCAGGCGGUUUGGCAAGAAGGAUGUGAAAUCCCAGGGCUUAACCUUGGAACUGCAUUCUUAACUGCCAGGCUAGAGUAUGUCAGAGGGGGGUAGAAUUCCACGUGUAGCAGUGAAAUGCGUAGAGAUGUGGAGGAAUACCGAUGGCGAAGGCAGCCCCCUGGGAUAAUACUGACGCUCAUGCACGAAAGCGUGGGGAGCAAACA